GCCCACAUAGCUCAGUUGGUAGAGCACGUCCUUGGUAAGGACGAGGUCAUCGGUUCAAUCCCGAUUGUGGGCUCCA
This 76-nucleotide transfer RNA is filed under the name Verrucomicrobiota bacterium. RNAcentral describes it as "tRNA-Thr". It matches the Rfam family "tRNA". From Rfam's summary of the family: Transfer RNA (tRNA) molecules are approximately 80 nucleotides in length. Their secondary structure includes four short double-helical elements and three loops (D, anti-codon, and T loops). The record is from RNAcentral. Lineage: Bacteria; Pseudomonadati; Verrucomicrobiota.